CCUGGGGAGUCGGCCCUCAGCUGGGUCGCUGCGCAGCUUCCUCGGGAAUGGGGACUCCUUGGCUCUGCGGCCCGGUCAUAGGUGCUCUUCUGCUGGCGGGACGCUCGGGUCUGCCCGCUGGUUCCCCUUCCACACGCUUUUCUCUGGCGGCCACCAGCUGACUCU
Non-coding RNA from Vicugna pacos (alpaca), 165 nucleotides. NCBI's taxonomy places the organism in Eukaryota, Metazoa, Chordata, Mammalia, Artiodactyla, Camelidae. The record is from RefSeq and is a predicted model, not a curated record.